Molecule: RNA transcript, 2046 nt
Organism: Amaranthus tricolor (Joseph's coat)
Lineage: Eukaryota; Viridiplantae; Streptophyta; Magnoliopsida; Caryophyllales; Amaranthaceae
Exons: 9
Source: RefSeq, a predicted model, not a curated record
UAUUGGUUCAAGUCCACAACGAACAUUCAUGCCUAUCAGACUACUGUUUUGAGUACCCCCAGAGCUUUGGCAUCAACGACUUGGACUUCCGUCUUGCAAAGUUUUUUCUUUUCUCCCAGUUUUUUCCAAAAAUAAACAAUCCUCUAGUUUACACAAACUUUCUUGUCCUUGUGAUAUUUGCUUGCGUGCUUAUCAAACUCGUAAUGAUCCGAUUAGUGAAAAUAGAGCUAAUGAUUUGUUUGAUUUAAUACAUUGCGAUAUUCGGGGUUCCUUCUAAUUGUGGUGCAUAUUACUUUCUUACGAUUGUUGAUGAUUUUUCUCGUGAUGUUUGGUAUAUUUGAUAUCUGCCAAGAGCAAAGUCAAACAAUUCAUCCAAUAUUUUUACGCAAUGGUUCACACUCAAUUUAAUAGAAGUAUAAAACUCUUGCGUAGUGACAAUGACUUAGAAUUUACUUCUCUACGUUAAUUCUAUGCUACAAAGGGAAUUAUACAUCAAACAUCUUGUGUUGACACCCAACAAAAUGGUCCCGUUGAGCGUAAACACCAACAUAUCCUUAAUGUGGCUAGAGCCUUGUGUUUUCAAACUAAUCUACCUUUUAAACUCUAAUACACCAGGAUUCCAAACUACAACAACUGUACCACCGCCUGAUAGCUCAAAUAGUUCUUCUGUAACUAAAGAUUCCUCUGCUACUCAUGCCUCUCCGUCCAUGGAUAAAGGAAAUUGUCUUCGACAACCAUCAAGUUGUCUCAAAGGAUACAUAACCAAUACAGUUCAAAUUCUUCCAACACCGGUCGCAUAUUCCACUUCACCAACUCCCUCAACACGGUCCUCAGAUCUGUUUACCAGAGGUAUAGACAUUCAAGCCGUAAAUGUUGUAAUCAAUUUUGAUUUCCUAAAGAACUCUGAAACCUAUCUGCACAGAAUAUGGACACCUUGGGUUGGCUGUUAAUCAAAGAACAUGUGAGGAUCGCUUUAAUUUAACAAAAUAGAACAGGAGCUUGGACUGAAGCCAAGCAAAUUCCUCCGCCUAGAUCAGGGUAUCUACUGCCUAUGAUAUAUUGCUGCUGCUGCGUACAGAUUAUUGGAUGGAAAUGUGUAUUGUUCUAUCCUUCUCUUGGCUAUCCCUCCCAUCACCUACCGCACUCAAACUCCUAUUUUGAAACACUGAGUUUGACGGUAUCCAUAGACUUUUACCUCCCGAGGAACCCUUAUCUUUCAAAGGAUUAUAAAGCUUGCUUUCAAGGGUGUGUUUCUGCUGGCUUUAGAUCUUGCUAGAGGAUUUUUAGGUAAUUUUCAACCAGUAGUGGGUAAGCCUGCAUUGUGGGAACUUGAUUCAGAUCAGCACUACAGUAUUGAGAGGCUUACCUCAUCCUUAUCUGAUGACCUUGGCAGGAAACAGCACUCAAUCAUGUGAAAUCUGCUGGCCUUUUAGGCGACAUCUUUGGUUCAACUCCAGAAAUGUGCAAAAGAUACUUGAUUUGGGUGGUUACUCGAAUGCAGGUAUGUAUAGAAUCUUUGUUCCUUCAAUUAAAUUAUCAGGUGGGAAAACAAAUGGAGUGUACGGUUGUGUUUCGAAAAUUCCCAAAAUACCUGACGGCUCAAUCAAACAAUAAAAGAAGGCAAUUGAUGCACCUUCGAAGGAUUCAAGGGAAGAAAACAAAGGCCGAUUGGCUGCUGCUGUUGAUCUUCAAGAAAUAAGGAAAGGAGAAGAACGUGUACACAGUUGCUGACUGCCGAACCGAAAAGAAAAAGAGUAAAAGAGACCUGCUGCUGUAUUUCGAACAUCAAGAAGAGGUGUGGUAUCUCCAAUUCCUGGACAACCUCAAUUCAUGGUCACUGGACAUUCUCCUCAGUUCAUUCAAGGCGGUGGUUCUGACCAAACAACUGCUUGAUAAGACUAAUUUAGGCACUGGAAGCCAUAGAGAAACUGCAAAGCAUGGAGCUGAAAUCGAAUGUACUUAACAUCUAAAAGUGAGUCCUGAGAACUCAAGAGCUCAUAUUUUAUAUAAUCAACAUCUACAUAUCGUAAUUUUUAAUUUUCGUGG